This 211-nucleotide long non-coding RNA is filed under the name Daucus carota (carrot). RNAcentral's name for it is "long non-coding RNA (DCAR_LNC004969)". The record is from RNAcentral. Lineage: Eukaryota; Viridiplantae; Streptophyta; Magnoliopsida; Apiales; Apiaceae.
UCUGUAAGAAAUCUGUAUGAUGAUUGCACAUCAUUUAUUACCAUAUUGAACUGAUAUAUUCUAUUUUAACAAACUAAAAUAUUAAUAACAUACUAUUUUUAAAUUAUAGCCAAUCAAUAUAGCCAAUACCAUUGAAGUACAAUGUCUUACAGGUUCGACAAAUUUUACAUAAUGUCUUACAGGUGCAAUUUAGCCAACGAUUAUAGCCAAC